GGAAGUGAAAGUCGUAACAAGGUUUCCGUAGGUGAACCUGCGGAAGGAUCAUUAUUGUAUAACCGAGGUGCGAGGGCUGUCGCUGACCCGAAAGGUCGUGCACGCCCGAGUGCCCUCACACACAUCCAUCUCACCCCUAUGUGCACCACCGCGUGGGUCCCCCUUUGGCUUGUUCGGAGGGGGGCUUACGUUUUCACACAAACUUUGUAUGCAGUGUAGAAUGUAUUUUUUGUUUUUGCGAUCACGCAAUCAAUACAACUUUCAACAACGGACCUCUUGGCUCUC
Molecule: unclassified non-coding RNA, 285 nt
Filed under: plant metagenome
Description: partial contains small subunit ribosomal RNA and internal transcribed spacer 1
Rfam family: Eukaryotic small subunit ribosomal RNA (bases 1-54)
Source: RNAcentral